Molecule: ribosomal RNA, 460 nt
Filed under: uncultured bacterium
Lineage: Bacteria
Description: partial 16S ribosomal RNA
Rfam family: Bacterial small subunit ribosomal RNA
Source: RNAcentral
CCUACGGGAGGCUGCAGUGAGGAAUAUUGGACAAUGGACGCAAGUCUGAACCAGCCACGCCGCGUGCAGGAAGACGGCUCUAUGAGUUGUAAACUGCUUUUGUACGAGGGUAAACGCAGAUACGCGUAUCUGUCGGAAAGUAUCGUACGAAUAAGGAUCGGCCAACUCCGUGCCAGCAGCCGCGGUAAUACGGAGGAUUCAAGCGUUAUCCGGAUUUAUUGGGUUUAAAGGGUGCGUAGGCGGUCGGAUAAGUUAGAGGUGAAAUCCCGAGGCUCAACUUCGGGAUUGCCUCUGAUACUGUUCGGCUAGAGAGUAGUUGCGGUAGGCGGAAUGUAUGGUGUAGCAGUGAAAUGCUUAGAGAUCAUACAGAACACCGAUUGCGAAGGCAGCUUACCAAGCUACUUCUGACGUUGAGGCACGAAGGCGUGGGGAGCAAACAGGAUUAGAUACCCCAGUAGUC